AACGAACGCUGGCGGCAGGCUUAACACAUGCAAGUCGAGCGAGACCUUCGGGUCUAGCGGCGGACGGGUGCGUAACGCGUGGGAACGUGCCCUUCUCUACGGAAUAGCCCCGGGAAACUGGGACUAAUACCGUAUACGCUCUUUGGGGGAAAGAUUUAUCGGAGUAGGAUCGGCCCGCGUUGGAUUAGGUAGUUGGUGGGGUAAUAGCCCACCAAGCCGACGAUCCAUAGCUGGUCUGAGAGGAUGAUCAGCCACACUGGGACUGAGACACGGCCCAGACUCCUACGGGAGGCAGCAGUGGGGAAUCUUAGACAAUGGGGGAAAGCCUGAUCCAGCCAUGCCGCGUGAGUGAUGAAGGCCUUAGGGUUGUAAAGCUCUUUUAGCUGGGAAGAUAAUGACGGUACCGGCAGAAUAAGCCCCGGCUAACUCCGUG
RNAcentral lists this ribosomal RNA (433 nucleotides) under uncultured bacterium. RNAcentral's name for it is "partial 16S ribosomal RNA". It matches the Rfam family "Bacterial small subunit ribosomal RNA", at positions 29 to 507 of the family's 1533-position model. The record is from RNAcentral.